This 468-nucleotide ribosomal RNA is filed under the name uncultured bacterium. RNAcentral describes it as "partial 16S ribosomal RNA". It matches the Rfam family "Bacterial small subunit ribosomal RNA", at positions 28 to 507 of the family's 1533-position model. The record is from RNAcentral.
GACGAACGCUGGCGGCGUGCUUAACACAUGCAAGUCGAACGGAAAGGCCCUGCUUUUGUGGGGUGCUCGAGUGGCGAACGGGUGAGUAACACGUGAGUAACCUGCCCUUGACUGUGGGAUAACUUCAGGAAACUGGGGCUAAUACCGGAUAGGAGCUCCUGCUGCAUGGGGGGGGUUGGAAAGUUUCGGCGGUUGGGGAUGGACUCGCGGCUUAUCAGCGUGUUGGUGGGGUAGUGGCUUACCAAGGCUUUGACGGGUAGCCGGCCUGAGAGGGUGACCGGCCACAUUGGGACUGAGGUACGGCCCAGACUCCUACGGGAGGCAGCAGUGGGGAAUCUUGCACAAUGGGCGGACGCCUGAUGCAGCAACGCCGCGUGCGGAAUGACGGCCUUCGGGUUGUAAACCGCUUUCGCCUGUGACGAAGCGUGAGUGACGGUAAUGGGUAAAGAAGCACCGGCUAACUACGUG